This is a long non-coding RNA of Portunus trituberculatus (swimming crab), 1057 nucleotides long. RefSeq lists it as uncharacterized. The record is from RefSeq and is a predicted model, not a curated record. The transcript has 5 exons. Lineage: Eukaryota; Metazoa; Arthropoda; Malacostraca; Decapoda; Portunidae.
CGGUGGCCGGUGAGUUCUCUUUGGGUGUGCGUGGCGAGCUGUGAGUGUGAUACAAGCAACGCGGCUGUGUCUUCUGAUAGCACGGUGUCUGAUGCCUCGUGACCCACUGGGGAGGAAGACUCGUGUGCAGUGGAUAGGAGGCAGGUGUGGAGGACAGGUGCUGAAGGACAGGCUGACUCGUGCUGAUAAAUGCUGCACUACCUCCUGGGACUCCUGGCACUGAUAUGUGAUGGAUCAGCCUCGGCCGUCUUCUUCUUAUGAUUGGUGAUUUUUUGACGUGGUGAAGGGCGUUCCUGGACCAACGGCGGACACGAAUUACGCCUGAGACUUGAUGGGGCGUGAUGGGAGGCUGGUCUGGUUCCGCACACACAUACACCCCUAACCUAACCUAACCUAACUUAAACUAACACAACUCAGUCCAAGCUAACAUAAACAUUGUCUUAUAUGAACUUAACUAAUCCGAUGUAACUUAACUUAACCUAACCUAAGUCCAAGUUAACCUAAUAUAACCUGACUUAAUCUAAACUUACUCAAUAUAACCUAACUUAACCUAAUCUAACUUCAGUACUGGGACACAUAUUUACCUGUUUUUUGGGGUGUGGUUAAACUAUUUCAUUUGCACUAGGAAAGGUCAAUGGAGAUCAGGAGAUUUAUGGCCAGAGUCUUCACUAUUUCAACCCCCCACAUAAGUUUCUGAAGCUGUAUAGAAUCACCAAAUAAUAAACAGAAUAUGAAUAUGAAAACACGUCAUGGUACUGAAGGGAUUAACCAAACCACUCAAUCCAGGCUAACUUAACCUAAUCUAAUCUAAACUUACCUAAUCCAACUAACUUAUCCUAACCUAACUAAUACCACUAGAAUCCCUCUAUCAAACACCGCCUCUCUCUAUGGAAUAUAAAAAUACGUCUUUAGUCUGUUUCCUAAUGUGACCUAACUUAAUUAAACCUAAGUGAACACCCACACAUAUAAGCAAGGUCCCCUCCUCCCCUCACCCUUCCAUCUCCUCCUAGAGUCCUACACCCAUAUCCAUCCUUCACAUUAACUAUAGGUUGUGUAG